UUGAAAUAAGGUCAUAAAUACCAUAUUUCGUUUAAAUUGAUGGUUUUCUACACAACACUAUUUUGGAUGUGAAAUACCGAUCAAUGUUUCAUAUCAACAUGUCCUCAGCAAUUGUGCAAAUAACCUCUAUAUUAACGUAAUGUAUACAUAAUGUUAAUCUUUAAACGUAUUAUCCUUUGACAAAAGUAAAAUUUGUAAAACUCUUGUAUGUUUUUAAUGUUUUUUGUCUAUCUAUUCAUUAAAUAUACAGUUAAGAAAUGGCGUAAAGACUACCGCUGUGGAGGCAGUUACACUACAGCAGGCGGGAUUAGAGCUGAGUGUAACCCUGGCGGUCAUGCCCCGUGCUGCUCUCCUCACAACUGGUGUGGGAGCACUGCAGCUCACUGUAACUGUGCGGGCUGUGUCGACUACCGUAACACAGGAAAGUAGUGCGGCCACACCAGUUCCGGACAGUAUGGAGAAUCGUCCCGAGGAUACAGUUCUAUUUUGCUUGCGGCUUUACUGGUAUAUCCAUCUUUGCAUGUUCCUUUUAACUUAGUGUAUCAAUUUUCAUGUACUGUCUUAACAGAAACUUGAUUUUAUGAAUGACAUCUGCAAGGUUUUUCAUUGCUUUUUACAAUAAUGAAUGAUGCCACGUUUACACAGACACCAUCCCCAACCCCUAAAUGCAAACAAAGAGAAAAAGGUAGUUAUCUUUUUUCCAAUCGUUUUGCCACGAUUUCUGUUAUAAUUACUAAUUUUACUAG
Long non-coding RNA from Branchiostoma belcheri (Belcher's lancelet), 746 nucleotides. RefSeq lists it as uncharacterized. The transcript is spliced from 3 exons. The record is from RefSeq and is a predicted model, not a curated record. Lineage: Eukaryota; Metazoa; Chordata; Leptocardii; Amphioxiformes; Branchiostomatidae.